GGAGGCAGCAGUGGGGAAUUUUGCGCAAUGGGGGAAACCCUGACGCAGCAACGCCGCGUGAGUGAUGAAGGCCUUCGGGUCGUAAAGCUCUGUCAGAGGGGAAGAAGUGUGGCGGUGGCUAAUAUCCAUUUCACUUGACGGUACCUUCAAAGGAAGCACCGGCUAACUCCGUGCCAGCAGCCGCGGUAAUACGGAGGGUGCGAGCGUUGUUCGGAAUUAUUGGGCGUAAAGCGCGUGUAGGCGGUUUUUUAAGUCUGAUGUGAAAGCCCUGGGCUCAACCCGGGAAGUGCAUUGGAAACUGGGAGACUUGAAUACGGGAGAGGGCAGUGGAAUUCCUGGUGUAGGAGUGAAAUCCGUAGAUAUCAGGAGGAACACCGGUGGCGAAGGCGGCUNCCUGGACCGAUAUUGACGCUGAGACGCGAAAGCGUGGGGAGCAAACAGGAUUAGAUACCCUGGUAGUCCACGCCGUAAACGAUGAGUACUAGGUGUUGCGGGUAUUGACCCCUGCAGUGCCGCAGCUAACGCAUAAGUAU
Molecule: ribosomal RNA, 533 nt
Filed under: uncultured Geobacter sp.
Lineage: Bacteria; Pseudomonadati; Thermodesulfobacteriota; Desulfuromonadia; Geobacterales; Geobacteraceae
Description: bacterial SSU rRNA
Rfam family: Bacterial small subunit ribosomal RNA
Source: RNAcentral